UAAGGAAUAUUGGUCAAUGGACGCAAGUCUGAACCAGCCAUGCCGCGUGAAGGAUGAAGGUCCUCUGGGUUGUAAACUUCUUUUAUCUGGGACGAAAACGGGAUUUUUAUCUCAAUUGACGGUACCAGAGGAAUAAGCACCGGCUAACUCCGUGCCAGCAGCCGCGGUAAUACGGAGGGUGCGGGCGUUAUCCGGAUUUACUGGGUUUAAAGGGUGCGUAGGUGGGCUUAUAAGUCAGUGGUGAAAUCUCCGAGCUUAACUUGGAAACUGCCGUUGAUACUAUAGGUCUUGAAUUAUCUGGAGGUAAGCGGAAUAUGUCAUGUAGCGGUGAAAUGCUUAGAUAUGACAUAGAACACCAAUUGCGAAGGCAGCUUACUACAUAUAAAUUGACGCUGAGGCACGAAAGCGUGGGGAUCAAACA
Molecule: ribosomal RNA, 421 nt
Filed under: uncultured bacterium
Lineage: Bacteria
Description: bacterial SSU rRNA
Rfam family: Bacterial small subunit ribosomal RNA
Source: RNAcentral